Molecule: long non-coding RNA, 3078 nt
Filed under: Sus scrofa (pig)
Lineage: Eukaryota; Metazoa; Chordata; Mammalia; Artiodactyla; Suidae
Description: lncRNA (ENSSSCG00000057463.1)
Source: RNAcentral
UUCAGAUCCCACGUUGCUGUGGCGCUGGCAUAGGCUGGUGGCUACAGCUGCAAUUAAACCCCUAGCCUGGGAACCUGCAUAUGCUGCGGGAGCAGCUCAAGAAAAGGCAAAAAGACAAAAAAAAAAAAAAAAAAUCCCUCCAGAGAGUUCCUUCUGUUCCCUUCCAGUCAAUACUCACCACCCAGAAGUAGAUACUGUUUUCAUUUCUUCCACUCUCUCUCCCUGCAAGGUAUUCUCAUCACUAUUUGAACUUGUUUCUCAGAAGGUUGGCUCUGCCUAUUUUUGAUGUUCAUAUAAAGUGAAUCAUACUCUUUUUGGUGGUCCAUUUUCUUUCUUUCUUUCUUUCUUUUUUUUUUUUUUUUUGCUUUUUAGGGCCACAUCCAUGGCAUAUGGAGGUUCUCAGGCUAAGGAUUGAAUCAGAGCUACAGCUGCCAGCCACAGCCACAGCAGCGCCAGAUCUGAGCCGCAUCUGGGACCCACACCACAGCUCAUGGCCAGAUCCUUACCCCACGAAGUGAGGCCAGGGAUCGAACCUACAACCUCAUGGUUCCUAGUUGGAUUCGUUUCCGAUGCGCCAUGAGGGAGCUCCCGGGGGUACAGUUUCUUAACUCAAUGUCUGUGAGAUUCAUCUGUUUGUUUUUUUAAUUGCUAUGUAAUAUUCUCCAAAAUUAUUUUGAAGCAAAUUCCAGACAUCAAAUCAUUCCAUUCAUAAAUAUUUCAGUAUGUAACUCUAACAGGUAAGUAGUUUAAAAAGACCCUACAUUAUCACAUCUCAAAGAAAUUGGCACAGAUGUUCUGACAUACUUCUUACCCUCUGUCUGGAAGGGAUGUUAGGGGUUGUGGUUCAGGCUGGGUCAGGAACACAGGGGAUUGGGGGCUUGCCCAGGGCAGAGGGGCACAGAGUGGGAGGAAGCAUUUAUGAACUUUCAGGGGGAUGCUGGGGAAGAGAAGGCACAAAUAGUGACAGAGAGGAGAGGAUGACGUCAUCCUGUGGUUCAGGUUGGGUUGUGAACAGUGGGGCUUGGGGCUUGCUGAAUGUACAUGGAAUGAGUGAGUGACAACAUCAUUGACCUGGGAUGGCAAAAUGCCCUGUUUUCUACUCCUUCUGCCUUUUAUUCUUGGGCUUCCCGCCCCUGAACCAUAUACCUUAAGAAGCAUUUUUUUUUCUCCUGAUGUGUGUUUAUAAUGCUUGAAGAUUCAAGGAGCCUGCCUUUGGGCACACAGUAUUGCUCAGCCCCAAAUACUUUUCUUCUCUUUUGUUUAAACAUGGGUCUUAUUCAUAAACCCACCCCCUCUUUUUGUGGGGAUUUAAUUUUGACUAGAAGAGAUUGGUCCUAGUCCCAGAUUAUCGUGAAUCUGUCUGCAUACUGUCUACUCUUGUUCAUUAAAAAAACAUGCUUUCCAUCUUAAUUUUCUAUUCCAAAAAUGGUGUCUAUCAGCCCAAUCCAACAUGCAAAUCACUGACAGCACAUUUCAUGUGUUUGGUCUAUUUCCCUGUGCCUCUCUCUCUCUCUCCAGCCCUCCUGCUGUUUCCCUGCCUGUGUGUUCUUUUAUUCCGUUGAUAGCUUUCAUUUUGGUCUCCCCUUCGCAUCUGGCCCUUCAAGCUGGGCUGCGGUUCUGCACUGCGGCUGGGCCGUUCAGCGAUUGGACUCUCUCCAGCCCCCACCAAAUGCCGUCUCUUUCUGUAGCAGAAAGAUGAGCUUAGGAUGUCUUUCUUAUGGUGCCUCGAAUGAUAUAUUUUGCUUUAGGUGCAAAAGCCAUGCCAGCUUGAAAUGGCUUGAUUUUUGUUGUUAUUUGUGAUUAUAUAGAUGAAAAGACAAGAGUCCUCUUUUUGAGAAACAGCAAAACUAUCAACAUAUGUAAUUAUAUGUAAAAUAUAUAAUGGGGAAUAGAGGACAUGAGGUAUGUGGUAUAUAUGUAGAAAAAAAUUCAGUGUACAGCUGGGGCUGGGACAGCUGCAGAGAAUGAGGUGAGGUAAUAUGCAUCCCUACACCCCAAGAUAGGUAUUUGCAAAUUUCCUUUAACAAUAAAGGAUCUUUUUACAGACUGGUAUCAGUUGAGAUGGGCUAGGGUGUGCUGCAGUAACAAGCAGCCCACUGUAUUUCAGUGGUGUAAGGCAGUAAAGGUUUAUUUCUUACUCAGAUGCAUAUUCUUGGUGGGUUGUUUGGGACUCUGUUCUGCAUCACUGUUUUCAUGAUGGAACUCUGAGUGACACAGUAUCCCCCACCUGGAAUGUUGCUGAUCACUGUAUCAGAAGGAAAAGAAAGCAUAGCAAAGCUUGCAUAAGCUCUUAAAACUUCAUCCACCAAUAAUAUAUUCACUUCUGCUCUUAUUGGCCAAAGGAAUGAUUCCAACAGGACAGGGAUAUAAUCUUAUCAUUCAGAGAUUAAGUAAUUUAUUUAUCCUAGAGUGUAGAAUCUGGACUUAAGCCACAUCUUACGAUUCUAUAUCUAAUGCUUUCCCUCCUGCACCACAGCUGUCCCAAAUGAUCCUUGUUGUAGUAUUGUUUCAUUUACUUAUUCUUUCUAUAGUUUUUUGUUCUAUUGCUAAGGCUAAAAUAUUCCCUUGUUUGUAUUUCAUCAGUAUGGCCAGGUACCUCAUGUACAAAGAAUGUAUUCGUUUAGCAGGCCUGUUUAUACUCAUACAGAUGUGUAUUUUCAAUUUCUUCCUUUCCAGUUCAGAAAACUCUGUUGGUAAUGAAUUUUUCAUUAAAGCAGUGCAAGAUUGGAAAAUAAAAUAUGCUUCAACACAUUUUCUAAAAUAAUCAACACAAAUCCAAUGUGAGAAUCAAACAAUUAUUACCUUCAGAAUUAGCCCUGGAUUAUUAAAAUGCAAUUAUACUUGGAAAAGUGACUCAGCAGGAGGCCAUGUUUAUUUUUUUCCCCUCAUUUUCACAGUAAAUUUUCUCUGUGUAGCGGCCACUGCCUCCACACUCUCCUCCUAAUCUCUGAACAAUACUCAAGGAUAAAAUUGUUUCUUCCUCUGUUGAUUUCAAAGAUACCAAUCAGACAUGGUCUCAUAUGGCCUGCAGAUGUGUUUUAUGUGGUUCACAGUGUUUACAAUUAAAAAUAUUCAAUG